This 1007-nucleotide ribosomal RNA is filed under the name uncultured prokaryote. RNAcentral describes it as "bacterial SSU rRNA". It matches the Rfam family "Bacterial small subunit ribosomal RNA", at positions 52 to 1046 of the family's 1533-position model. The record is from RNAcentral.
CAUCUGCAGUCGAGCGAUGAAGAGGAGCUUGCUCCUCUGAUUUAGCGGCGGACGGGUGAGUAACACGUGGGUAAUCUGCCUGUAAGACGGGGAUAACUCCGGGAAACCGGGGCUAAUACCGGAUAAUAAGAAGAAACGCAUGUUUCUUUUUUGAAAGUCGGUUUCGGCUGACACUUACAGAUGAGCCCGCGGCGCAUUAGCUAGUUGGUGAGGUAACGGCUCACCAAGGCGACGAUGCGUAGCCGACCUGAGAGGGUGAUCGGCCACACUGGGACUGAGACACGGCCCAGACUCCUACGGGAGGCAGCAGUAGGGAAUCUUCGGCAAUGGGCGAAAGCCUGACCGAGCAACGCCGCGUGAGCGAUGAAGGCCUUCGGGUCGUAAAGCUCUGUUGUUAGAGAAGAACAAGUACGAGAGUAACUGCUCGUACCUUGACGGUACCUAACCAGAAAGCCACGGCUAACUACGUGCCAGCAGCCGCGGUAAUACGUAGGUGGCAAGCGUUAUCCGGAAUUAUUGGGCGUAAAGCGCGCGCAGGCGGUCUCUUAAGUCUGAUGUGAAAGCCCACGGCUCAACCGUGGAGGGUCAUUGGAAACUGGGAGACUUGAGUGCAGGAGAGAAAAGUGGAAUUCCACGUGUAGCGGUGAAAUGCGUAGAGAUGUGGAGGAACACCAGUGGCGAAGGCGGCUUUUUGGCCUGUAACUGACGCUGAGGCGCGAAAGCGUGGGGAGCAAACAGGAUUAGAUACCCUGGUAGUCCACGCCGUAAACGAUGAGUGCUAGGUGUUGGGGGGUUCCACCCUCAGUGCUGAAGUUAACACAUUAAGCACUCCGCCUGGGGAGUACGACCGCAAGGUUGAACUCAAAGGAAUUGACGGGGGCCCGCACAAGCAGUGGAGCAUGUGGUUUAAUUCGAAGCAACGCGAGAACCUUACCAGGUCUUGACAUCCUUUGACCACUCUAGAGAUAGAGCUUUCCCCUUCGGGGGACAAAGUGACAGUGGUGCAU